Molecule: ribosomal RNA, 609 nt
Filed under: Glomus sp. MS
Lineage: Eukaryota; Fungi; Glomeromycota; Glomeromycetes; Glomerales; Glomeraceae
Description: SSU rRNA
Rfam family: Eukaryotic small subunit ribosomal RNA
Source: RNAcentral
GGACCAUCAUGUCGGUCGUGCCUCGGUACGUACUGGUAUUGUUGGUUUCUCCCUUCUGACGAACCAUGAUGUCAUUUAUUUGGUGUUGUGGGAAAUCAGGACUGUUACUUUGAAAAAAUUAGAGUGUUUAAAGCAGGCUCACGCUUGAAUACAUUAGCAUGGAAUAAUGAAAUAGGACGUUUGAUUCUAUUUUGUUGGUUUCUAGGAUCGACGUAAUGAUUAAUAGGGAUAGUUGGGGGCAUUAGUAUUCAAUUGUCAGAGGUGAAAUUCUUGGAUUUAUUGAAGACUAACUACUGCGAAAGCAUUUGCCAAGGAUGUUUUCAUUAAUCAAGAACGAAAGUUAGGGGAUCGAAGACGAUCAGAUACCGUCGUAGUCUUAACCAUAAACUAUGCCGACUAGGGAUCGGAUGAUGUUAAUUUUUUAAUGACUCAUUCGGCGCCUUACGGGAAACCAAAGUGUUUGGGUUCCGGGGGGAGUAUGGUCGCAAGGCUGAAACUUAAAGGAAUUGACGGAAGGGCACCACCAGGGGUGGAGCCUGCGGCUUAAUUUGACUCAACACGGGGAAACUCACCAGGUCCAGACAUAGUAAGGAUUGACAGAUUGAGAGC